RNAcentral lists this ribosomal RNA (253 nucleotides) under uncultured bacterium. Its description in RNAcentral is "partial 16S ribosomal RNA". It matches the Rfam family "Bacterial small subunit ribosomal RNA", at positions 524 to 776 of the family's 1533-position model. The record is from RNAcentral.
UACGUAGGGGGCGAGCGUUGUCCGGAUUCAUUGGGCGUAAAGCGCGCGUAGGCGGCCCCGCAAGUCGGCCGUGAAAUCUCCGGGCUCAACUCGGAGGGGUCGGGCGAGACUGCGGAGCUCGAGGUGGGCAGAGGGCAGUGGAAUUCCGGGUGUAGUGGUGGAAUGCGUAGAGAUCCGGAGGAACACCAGUGGCGAAGGCGGCUGCCUGGGCCUGGCCUGACGCUGAGGCGCGAAAGCGUGGGGAGCGAGCCGG